AAAAAAAGNGGACUUUAGCCACUGGGUGUUC
Molecule: non-coding RNA, 31 nt
Filed under: Mus musculus (house mouse)
Lineage: Eukaryota; Metazoa; Chordata; Mammalia; Rodentia; Muridae
Source: RNAcentral